AGAUUGAACGCUGGCGGCAUGCCUUACACAUGCAAGUCGAACGGCAGCACGGGAGCAAUCCUGGUGGCGAGUGGCGAACGGGUGAGUAAUAUAUCGGAACGUGCCCAGUCGUGGGGGAUAACGCAGCGAAAGCUGUGCUAAUACCGCAUACGAUCUAUGGAUGAAAGCGGGGGAUCGCAAGACCUCGCGCGAUUGGAGCGGCCGAUAUCAGAUUAGCUAGUUGGUGGGGUAAAAGCCUACCAAGGCGACGAUCUGUAGCUGGUCUGAGAGGACGACCAGCCACACUGGAACUGAGACACGGUCCAGACUCCGUACGGGAGGCAGCAGGUGGGGAAUUUUGGACAAGUGGGCGCAAGCCUGAUCCAGCAAU
This 370-nucleotide ribosomal RNA is filed under the name uncultured soil bacterium. RNAcentral's name for it is "bacterial SSU rRNA". It matches the Rfam family "Bacterial small subunit ribosomal RNA", at positions 26 to 395 of the family's 1533-position model. The record is from RNAcentral.